Scophthalmus maximus (turbot) is the source of this 2051-nucleotide long non-coding RNA. RefSeq lists it as uncharacterized. The record is from RefSeq and is a predicted model, not a curated record. NCBI's taxonomy places the organism in Eukaryota, Metazoa, Chordata, Actinopteri, Pleuronectiformes, Scophthalmidae. The transcript has 5 exons.
CCCACCUCUUGUUCCUGGGGGACUUACUGUGGUGUGAGGACCAUGACUUGAGAUUCAACCAUAACCACUGGCAGCCCCCGCUCAGCCACAGGGAUGAGAGCGGCCCCUUCAACUGACACGCAGGGCUUCGCAAAGGAAAUAAAAUUCAAAGUAGAACAGGACGACAGAUUCUCAGAUUACUGCCGGUUCCUUUCUCUUCCCUUUUUCCUCUUUGACUUUGUCUUUCUGUUUCUCCCUCUCUGAGUAUAGACUCCAUGUGCACACAGAGAAUCUACAGAGACUCCAGCCCACCCUCGGCCUGUGCUACAUGGACCUGUGGUAGAUGUUGUGCUUGUCAGGAGAUCACCCAAUUACAAACCCACGCUCUUUUGCAACAAGGUGGAAACGUAACGGGGACGGUUUAAAAGUCAUCAGUAAUAAAGGGAAGUAUAGUUUCUGUCUACUUAAAAAACCCAUCUGGUCUUCAGAUAUAAAUAUAUAAAUAAUUGGACCAUUUGAGAAAUAUGCUAUGAACUUUCUUUUCAGGUGCCAUGUGAGAAGAUUGAAACCACUCUCAUGGCCGUACAGUAAAUAUGAUGCAAGAUCAAGUGAUGCUACACCAGGCAAAAUGAAAUAUUUUACAAGUACGCAUUAAUACAACGUUUUGCACCUAUAUUGCAGUAACUCACGGUGAUGAUUGAUGGUAUUGAUGAGUCUUAAGCCGACGUUUGCGUGGUUGUUGGUCAUGAGCACAACAUCAAAGAGCUCCUCGCUGUCAGGGUAAAGCUCCCUCAGCCGAGUGUUCACAGCCUCCAGAGCCUGGGAACACAACCAAGCACAGAUUUGGCUCUGACCUUGAUAAAGGAGAAGGCAGGUCCCGCGCUGAAAGGCUCAGUUUCGUGCUCCACCUGAUGCUUGAUGUAAUCCUCCAUGCCUUGGUGCUCGUAGAUCUGCUGCUCCUUCUCCAUGUUGAAGAGGACUCGAGACGACACGGCGAUGGUGAUGGCAUUCUCCGGCUUGGGCUGGAGGAUGAGAGUUUCCAACGGACACAAAGACGCCUUGCCGAGCCCCUGUAUCUCUCUCCACAACGCAGCAAGCUGGAGGCUUCAAAUGAUGCAGCGCUCACUCGCAAACCUGGAGACGGCCCCUUUGUGCUGUUCAGGAUCUUGGCAUGGAUUGAAAUAAGAAGCAGCAGUCCCAGUUGCCAGGCAACGGCCGGGGAGUCAGAGGGGCUGGGACACCCGCAUCCAUUAUCUGAUUGGCUGUGGGGACACCAGACUGCAUAUGCCCUCCAAAUAUGGCAUCGAUCAGUGACACACACACAGGUGAUGCAGGGGGCGAGAUGAAGGUGUGCGUUCUGCUUUGAAGAGCAUGAACGCAUUAUUAACGACAUUAGCUGUGCUUUUGUGGCAACUAGCAGGCGAUUUGUCAGCCACAGAUGGUUUCUGGGAAAACGAUGCUGAGCGAGACGUCUUGGCAGGCACUCGAGGAAAUAGAGGGAUAAUAGAGACACAGUCUGACGGGAAACAUGCUGGACACGACUGCGUCCACUACAACCGUCAUCUGUAUUUAUCCGUCAGUAUUACAGAGGUAGCAAAUAUCAGACAAGGUUAUAUACAGUAUGUCAAAAAAGAAUUUAAAAGAGAUCUUUUUUUCAAAAGAUCUCAAUUUAUAUUGUUGCCUCCUAUACAUUCAAGACACUCUGAUCUCAACUGUGUCAACAUAUAAACCCACAGGGGUUCAAGUAAAACUAUAUCUAUCCAAUAUUUCCGGAAGCCAGCACACAUGAAACAUCACAAAGUGCCACACUGCGCCAAAUUUAACUGAUAGAAUAUGAUCUCUGGCUGUAACCAAACACUCCCCUGCAUGCUCCCCAGAGACCAGACACAAAGAUAUUGUAUUGAUUAACUGAGGACAGCUGAGGGAUUGUGUGCAUUUAUUGUCUGGGACCUAAUGAACUGUAAAAGCAUACAACCUUUUUCUUUCUAAGUAUUUAUUUUGUGUUUAGAUGAGCCAUCAAUAAUGUUGGGUGCAGGACAUUUUUGGACACAUUUGAGUAAAUAAAAUAAAAA